UACGGGGGGGGCAAGCGUUGUUCGGAAUUACUGGGCGUAAAGGGCGCGUAGGCGGCUCGUCAAGUCGGGCGUGAAAUCUCCAGGCUUAACCUGGAAAAGUCGUUCGAUACUGUUGAGCUAGAGUGUGGAAGAGGCUACUGGAAUUCCGUGUGUAGCGGUGAAAUGCGUAGAUAUACGGAGGAACACCAGCGGCGAAGGGCGGGAUGAGCUGGGGCCAACACUGACGCUGAUGCGCGAAAGCCAGGGUAGCAAACGGG
This 257-nucleotide ribosomal RNA is filed under the name uncultured bacterium. RNAcentral describes it as "partial 16S ribosomal RNA". It matches the Rfam family "Bacterial small subunit ribosomal RNA", at positions 524 to 776 of the family's 1533-position model. The record is from RNAcentral.